This 497-nucleotide ribosomal RNA is filed under the name uncultured bacterium. Its description in RNAcentral is "partial 16S ribosomal RNA". It matches the Rfam family "Bacterial small subunit ribosomal RNA", at positions 28 to 507 of the family's 1533-position model. The record is from RNAcentral.
GACGAACGCUGGCGGCGUGCCUAAUACAUGCAAGUUGAGCGCUGAAGGUUGGUACUUGUACCAACUGGAUGAGCAGCGAACGGGUGAGUAACGCGUGGGGAAUCUGCCUUUGAGCGGGGGACAACAUUUGGAAACGAAUGCUAAUACCGCAUAAAAACUUUAAACACAAGUUUUAAGUUUGAAAGAUGCAAUUGCAUCACUCAAAGAUGAUCCCGCGUUGUAUUAGCUAGUUGGUGAGGUAAAGGCUCACCAAGGCGAUGAUACAUAGCCGACCUGAGAGGGUGAUCGGCCACAUUGGGACUGAGACACGGCCCAAACUCCUACGGGAGGCAGCAGUAGGGAAUCUUCGGCAAUGGACGAAAGUCUGACCGAGCAACGCCGCGCGAGUGAAGAAGGGUUUCGGAUCGUAAAACUCUGUUGGUAGAGAAGAACGUUGGUGAGAGUGGAAAGCUCAUCAAGUGACGGUAACUACCCAGAAAGGGACGGCUAACUACGUG